This is a long non-coding RNA of Mesocricetus auratus (golden hamster), 764 nucleotides long. RefSeq lists it as uncharacterized. Lineage: Eukaryota; Metazoa; Chordata; Mammalia; Rodentia; Cricetidae. The record is from RefSeq and is a predicted model, not a curated record. The transcript has 2 exons.
CUUCACAUGAAGGAACACACAGCCUGCAUCUGCAGGUACGUGGACUCAGGAGAUGCCCCUAGGCAGGGGACCGGAAAGCCACUGACACUCUAGAGUGACAAUACAGCACCCCUCAUAGACCAUGUGAUGAUUCUGCCAGUACGGUAUCAGCAAGGACAACAGGGUCUCAGCAACACAGGGACCUUGGAUGCACCCCGGGGAAGUUAUCUAAAGUGACGUGACCGUCCAGGGUGCAAGGCCAGGAGCUGGAUGAAGAGACCUGUGUCCCAGCCACGACACUCACAUACCAAAGGGUACAGAGACGGCACUCAGGACCCGCCCAACACAGAACCACCAGGAAGGGGGUCUGCGUUCACAUCUCUGGGCCCACGCGGCAGUGACCAAGGGAAGGGAACAUACAGUACGGGGGACCCAGGCAGACGGAGCGGCAGUGCCAGGCCAGAAACGGGAGCCAGAGUGUGCCUAGAAUAGAGACCGAAUGGAAGGGACAGGAGGACAAAGGCUGGGAAGUCAGAGCCACAGGCCCCUACUGUGAUGGCAUGACAGCCUCCUUCACUCUGAGAGGAAGAGGUCCUAUUUGUGGAUCCCCAGGGCAGAAUCAUCGGAGGACAAAGAAUGAAGUUCCAGGAGUGGAGGCAAGCAUCUAGCAUCCCAGUAUCUGGGGAGUUGAUGAGGCAGGAUGGCCGCCCGCAGUUGGAGACAAAAUCCCAUCCCCAAAUCGCUAUCCCCCUCCCACCCCUGCCAAAAUAAAAGGGAUAAACACA